UUGCCAGGAUUCCCUCAUCUUCCAUUUCGAACGACAUGACGGCCUUAUCGGUCUGAAUAUCGCAAAGGACAUCACCAGGAUUGAUCGUAUCGCCUUCUUGUUUGUACCACUUCACGAUGGUACCUUCCGACAUAGUCGGCGAAAGCGAAGGCAUUUUGAGAGCCUGGCCCUUCACUGCGAUGAAAAGCGAAAUUCGGGAUGUACAGCGAGCGUUUUCUUCCUCAACAGACCAGGAUACUAUACUGUGUACCCGAACCAACACGCUGAAUGCUUACCGAACAGGGCGCAAGAUGCGUGGAUUGAGCAUGGUGAACAGCGAGUUGGAGUUUCCAGCGAUCUCAGGAUGACGGGAAUCGACCGACUAGUAACUGCGACCGGCGUGAGCCUGACGGAUGGAAUCCGUCGGGCAACGCGCGAGACGCGCAACAUCGACGACCACAUCGUGGUCAACGGCACAAAAAAGCGAUAUCAAUUUGGGAAGUAAUUUUCAAGGGACAUCUGCAAAAUAAAAUAUUAGUAAUACAACCCUCGAAGAAGUUUUCACCGAUGUGAACACUUGUAUUUCAGAUCUAAUUGGAUC
RNAcentral lists this ribosomal RNA (580 nucleotides) under uncultured archaeon. Its description in RNAcentral is "partial 16S ribosomal RNA". The record is from RNAcentral.